CCUACGGGGGGCAGCAGUGGGGCAUAUUGGGCAAUGGGCGCAAGCCUGACCCAGCAACGCCGCGUGAAGGAAGAAGGCUUUCGGGUUGUAAACUUCUUUUAUCAGGGACGAAGCAAGUGACGGUACCUGCUGAAUAAGCCACGGCUAACUACGUGCCAGCAGCCGCGGUAAUACGUAGGUGGCAAGCGUUAUCCGGAUUUACUGGGUGUAAAGGGCGUGUAGGCGGGAGUGCAAGUCAGAUGUGAAAACUAUGGGCUCAACCCAUAGCCUGCAUUUGAAACUGUACUUCUUGAGUGCUGGAGAGGCAAUCGGAAUUCCGUGUGUAGCGGUGAAAUGCGUAGAUAUACGGAGGAACACCAGUGGCGAAGGCGGAUUGCUGGACAGUAACUGACGCUGAGGCGCGAAAGCGUGGGGAGCAAACAGGAGUAGAUACCCGAGUAGUC
RNAcentral lists this ribosomal RNA (443 nucleotides) under uncultured bacterium. RNAcentral's name for it is "partial 16S ribosomal RNA". It matches the Rfam family "Bacterial small subunit ribosomal RNA", at positions 338 to 795 of the family's 1533-position model. The record is from RNAcentral.